Molecule: ribosomal RNA, 395 nt
Filed under: uncultured bacterium
Lineage: Bacteria
Description: bacterial SSU rRNA
Rfam family: Bacterial small subunit ribosomal RNA
Source: RNAcentral
AUUGAACGCUGGCGGCAUGCUUUACACAUGCAAGUCGAACGGCAGCACGGGUGCUUGCACCUGGUGGCGAGUGGCGGACGGGUGAGUAAUACAUCGGAACGUAUCCAGAAGAGGGGGAUAACGCAUCGAAAGAUGUGCUAAUACCGCAUAUUCUCUGAGGAGGAAAGCAGGGGGAUCGAAAGACCUUGCGCUUUGGGAGCGGCCGAUGUCUGAUUAGCUAGUUGUGGGGUAAAGGCCUACCAAGGCGACGAUCAGUAGUUGGUCUGAGAGGACGACCAGCCACACUGGGACUGAGACACGGCCCAGACUCCUACGGGAGGCAGCAGUGGGGAAUUUUGGACAAUGGGCGCAAGCCUGAUCCAGCAAUGCGCGUGAGUGAGAAGGCUCGGUGUAAG